Molecule: ribosomal RNA, 828 nt
Filed under: Ramularia inaequalis
Lineage: Eukaryota; Fungi; Ascomycota; Dothideomycetes; Mycosphaerellales; Mycosphaerellaceae
Description: eukaryotic LSU rRNA
Rfam family: Eukaryotic large subunit ribosomal RNA
Source: RNAcentral
GCCCCAGUAACGGCGAGUGAAGCGGCAACAGCUCAAAUUUGAAAUCUGGCGCAAGCCCGAGUUGUAAUUUGUAGAGGAUGCUUCUAGGUAGCGACCGGUCUAAGUUCCUUGGAACAGGACGUCAUAGAGGGUGAGAAUCCCGUAUGUGACCGGCCCGCACCUUCUACGUAGCUCCUUCGACGAGUCGAGUUGUUUGGGAAUGCAGCUCUAAAUGGGAGGUAAAUUUCUUCUAAAGCUAAAUACCGGCCAGAGACCGAUAGCGCACAAGUAGAGUGAUCGAAAGAUGAAAAGCACUUUGGAAAGAGAGUUAAAAAGCACGUGAAAUUGUUGAAAGGGAAGCGCUUACAACCAGACUUCUGGGCGGUGUUCCGCCGGUCUUUUGACCGGUCUACUCGCCGUCCCGAGGCCAACAUCAUCUGGGACCGCUGGAUAAGACCUCAGGAAUGUAGCUUCCCUCGGGAAGUGUUAUAGCCUGUGGUGAUGCAGCGCGUCUCGGGUGAGGUCCGCGCUUCGGCAAGGAUGUUGGCGUAAUGGUUGUCAGCGGCCCGUCUUGAAACACGGACCAAGGAGUCUAACAUCUAUGCGAGUGUUCGGGUGUCAAACCCCUACGCGUAAUGAAAGUGAACGGAGGUGGGAAGCGUAAGCUGCACCAUCGACCGAUCCUGAUGUCCUCGGAUGGAUUUGAGUAAGAGCAUAGCUGUUGGGACCCGAAAGAUGGUGAACUAUGCCUGAAUAGGGUGAAGCCAGAGGAAACUCUGGUGGAGGCUCGCAGCGGUUCUGACGUGCAAAUCGAUCGUCAAAUUUGGGUAUAGGGGCGAAAGACUAAUC